Molecule: ribosomal RNA, 468 nt
Filed under: uncultured bacterium
Lineage: Bacteria
Description: partial 16S ribosomal RNA
Rfam family: Bacterial small subunit ribosomal RNA
Source: RNAcentral
GACGAACGCUGGCGGCGUGCUUAACACAUGCAAGUCGAACGGAAAGGCCCUGCUUUUGUGGGGUGCUCGAGUGCCGAAGGGGUGAGUAACAGGUGAGUAACCUGCCCUUGACUUUGGUAUAACUUCAGGAAACUAGGGCUAAUACCGGAUAGGAGCCCCUGUUGGAGGGUGGGGGGUGGAACGUUUCGGCGGUUGGGGUUGGAUGGCGGGCUUUUCAGUUUGUUGGUGGGGGGGUGGCUUACCCAGGAUUUGUAGGGUAACCGGCAUUUGAGGGUGCCCGGCCACAUUGGGACUGAGAGACGGCCCAGACUCCAACGGGAGACAGUAGUGGGGAAUAUUGCCCAAUGGGCGGAAGCCGGAUGCAGAAACGCCGCGGGCGGGAUGACGGCCUUCGGGUUGAAAACCGCUUUCGCCUGUGACGAAGCGUGAGUGACGGUAAUGGGUAAAGAAGCACCGGCUAACUACGUG